This 884-nucleotide long non-coding RNA is filed under the name Sinocyclocheilus grahami. Its description in RNAcentral is "lncRNA (ENSSGRG00000031544.1)". The record is from RNAcentral. Lineage: Eukaryota; Metazoa; Chordata; Actinopteri; Cypriniformes; Cyprinidae.
UUUAUAGUAUCAAAAUAUUUACUCGUCAUUGACAUUUCAGAGGCUAAAGUUGUCAAGGAGGAAGCUAAACCAGCUCCUGUAAAGAAAGAGGCUGAAGUCAUCAAAGAUGUUAAACCAGCCCAUGAGAAGAGAGAGGUCAUCGAGGAGAAAGUUAAACCAGCUCCUGUAAAGAAAGAGCCUGAAGUUGUCAAAGAGAAACCAGCACCUCCAAAGAAAGCUGAGGUUCCAAAGGAAAAGGCAAAGCCAGUCCCAGAAAAGAAAGCACCUGAAAUAAUCAAAGAAAAACCAAAGCCAGCUCCAAAGAAAGAAGCUGAAGUCAUCAAAGAGAAAGUAAAACCAGCCCCUGAGAAGAAAGAGGCUGAAGUCAUUAAGGAGAAAGUAGCUCCUGUAAAGAAAGUUGAGGUUCCAAAGGAAAAGGAAAAACCAGUUUCUGAAAAGAAAGAACCUGAAAUAACCAAAGAAAAACCCAAACCGGUGCCAAAGAAGGGUAAAUAAACAGUUUUUCCACUGGCCUUUUGUAAGAUAAUGCUAAUCAUUUGCAUUUGUCUAUAUUAUUCAUUUAUUUCAAUUUUAAAUAUAUAUAUAUUUUAGAGGCUGAAGUCAUCAAAGAGAAAGUUAAACCAGCUCCUGAGAAGAAAGGUUUGAUUUGCUGUAUUAAGAAUUAAAUUACCAUUUUCUGUAACAACAUGUAUGAUUAAACAUUAUGAUGAUUUUAGAGCCUGAAGGCAUUAAAGAAAAAGUUAAACCAGCUCUUGAGAAAAAAGGUGAGUUCAUUUUGAUAUUUUAUCUCAGUGGUUUUAAAGAUAAUAUUUUUAAAAAAAAAACUUCAGCAAUCACCACAUUGUCAUUUCAGAGGCUGAAGUCAAGGAGAAAGCAAAACCAGC